GACGAACGCUGGCGGCGUGCUUAACACAUGCAAGUCGAACGGAAAGGCCCUGCUUUUGUGGGGUGCUCGAGUGGCGAACGGGUGAGUAACACGUGAGUAACCUGCCCUUGACUUUGGGAUAACUUCAGGAAACUGGGGCUAAUACCGGAUAGGAGCUCCUGCUGCAUGGUGGGGGUUGGAAAGUUUCGGCGGUUGGGGAUGGACUCGCGGCUUAUCAGCUUGUUGGUGGGGUAGUGGCUUACCAAGGCUUUGACGGGUAGCCGGCCUGAGAGGGUGACCGGCCACAUGGGGACUGAGAUACGGCCCAGACUCCUACGGGAGGCAGCAGUGGGGAAUAUGGCACAAUGGGCGGAAGCCUGAUGCAGAAACGCCGCGUGCGGGAUGACGGCCUUCGGGUUGUAAACCGCUUUCGCCUGUGACGAAGCGUGAGUGACGGUAAUGGGUAAAGAAGCACCGGCUAACUACGU
This 467-nucleotide ribosomal RNA is filed under the name uncultured bacterium. RNAcentral's name for it is "partial 16S ribosomal RNA". It matches the Rfam family "Bacterial small subunit ribosomal RNA", at positions 28 to 506 of the family's 1533-position model. The record is from RNAcentral.